UACUUGAAGAAGAGGAGCACUAGAACAAGUCAAGAAUCGAUGAGACCGGGAAAAUUUGGUCUUUCUUAGUCUUUGUUUCAUUCCCGUUACACGACAAUGAAGCAAAGAGGGGUAGCUGUACAGCCCAAAAUUUACCCGGGGCCUAAACCUAACCCGAAGCCCAAAUUAACAAAAACACCCAAUACCCCAAAAUAGCCCAAAAAGCCCAAUUCUCUAAACCCAAAUCCCGAAUGGCCCAAAUCCAAAACAAAAAAGAAAAAAAUCUAAUCACCCUAACCCUAGCCUAGCGCCGCACCUAGCCUACUUGCCCUCUGCCACCGCCUCUUGCAGCCCCCUGCCCACUUGCCACCGCCACGGUCACGUCGCCACCGCCACAAGCACCUGUAAACAAGUCAAGAGCAACAGUAAUAUUUGAUAGAAAAGAAAAAUA
RNAcentral lists this long non-coding RNA (430 nucleotides) under Gossypium raimondii (Peruvian cotton). Its description in RNAcentral is "long non-coding RNA (GRAI_LNC005788)". Lineage: Eukaryota; Viridiplantae; Streptophyta; Magnoliopsida; Malvales; Malvaceae. The record is from RNAcentral.